UCCUCAGCCUCCUUCGAGGCAGACUGGAACUCUCGGCCCCUUGAGAGCUGCCCGCGCCGUUUGGCCGGCGGCCGGGGGGCGGGGGGGAGGGGCGGCUGGCUCGGACGUGGACCCCCGACCCCACCCCCCGCCAUCGGAAGGUUCCCAAAAGCCGCCGGCUGGGGCAGUCCGCUCUGGGUGGCUCUGAUCAUCUCUCAUUUUAGUGUCCGUUAUAUUGGAGCAAAUGAGACUGUCCUGCCUGCACAAAUAAGGCCUGCAAAAUCUAGCUGUCCAUGAGCCAUUGCAUAUAGCAAGUUACCCCACAAAAAAGAUGGGAGUUUGGAAGGGACAUGAUAGAAGUGGAGAACAAGCUGCAGUCACAAUUCUGGUUACAGGAGCUAAAGGUUGGCCUAGAAUGGUUAUCCUCACAACAACCUGCUGGCACCUGUCUGUCUUGGGAGACAAUGGAAGAGUGCGCCUUUGAGAGUGAAGUCAAGCCGUUAGUUACAGCACCUGCUGUGGCUGUGGAGACUGCUGUGGGAGAGACAUGUUUUGUUGCAGCUGCGGCAGAUGAAGAGGUCCAGUUUCACUGUUACAGAUACACCAUGGCAUUUCUUCUCUCUGCACUCCUCCCAGUGUUAAUUUCUCCUGAGGUUGUGUUUCCACAGCAGUGACCUGAAUGAUUGUCUCCAGGUGCUGUGGUCAUCUGCAAGGGAUCCCCACAUUGUGGGGGUGCGGUUGCCAGCCUUCAUAUGGUCUGCCAACAGGCUUGGUGUCUGAAGACAGCUCCCCAUAGAGCACAUCCUUUGGGAUCCUACCAUCUUCCACCACCAAGCCAGCAUAGAAGUUGCUGAGACAGGAGCAUGAACAUACUGGGAAUGUGGGUGUGGGAGAGCACAUCCUUGUUUGAGACUAUGUCCUGCCAUGGGACACCCAAAUUCUUCCUGAUGCAGCACAUGUGGAAAGCAUUGAGAUGUCGCUCCUGGCAGGUGUAAGUUGCCCAUGACUCACAACAACCAUGUGAGGUAGGCUAGACUGAGAGGCGGGUGGUGAAAGGCUAAAGGGCAUCAAGCAAGCUUCAUGGCUGAACAGAGAUUUGAACCUGGUCUCUAACCAGUACAGUGGUGCCUCGCAAGACGAAUUUAAUUCGUUCUGUGAGUCAAUUUGUUUUGCGAAAAAUUCGUCUUGCGGAUCCCAUAGGAAUGCAUUGAAUUAUUUAUUUAUUUAUUUAUUGCCCAUAGGAACGCAUUAAUUGAAUUUCAAUGCAUUCCUAUGGGAAACCGCGAUUCGCUAGAUGAAUUUUUCACAAAACGAAUUAGUCUUGCAAGGCAACCUCUGAUCGCAAAAACCAUUCAUCUAGCGAAAAAUUCGUCUAGCAUGGCAUUCAUCUAGCGAGGUACCACUGUAUAUCACAUAGCCUCAUUCUCCACCUCAUACCACAGAAGCUUAAACAGUGGCUGUCACUAAGCAUUAACCAUUUGAUGGCUGAUUUGAGGCAACACUGGAAGCUGUAUGCUGGCUCCUUUGGCCAAUAAUGCGAGAUGCGCGCCGCAACCCCAGAGUCAGUCACAACUGGACCUAAUGGUCAGGGGGUACCUUUACCUUUAUCUUUGAGGCAACACUAUAAUGUCAAAUAUAUCAAAGACAAAGUAGAGAAUUCAACACCAGUGUCUAAUCAUGCAAUGGUUUAUGACAGACAAGGGAGGAGAAAGUCAUAGGGACAAGUUUUUGUUCUUGUUUUUUUUGAGGAUGAACAUGUGGAAGGAGAGAGCAUGUGUUCCUUUUUAAAAAAUAAGCAUGUCCUGCCUUUGUCGUACAAUAAUGCAACAGUGUAAUAAAUCUCAGUUAAAAUAUUACAAAUAUUUUUUUAAGUGCAACCCCUUGCAUGUUCACUCAGAAAUAAGAUCUUGACUUACUGCCCAGUUUUUUGCUUACAGAAUUUUUAUCCAGCUCUUCAGGCAAAAAAGGGGGGGCUCUCAGUGUGUCUUAUGGAUCACUAAAAAGAAAAGAAAACCAAACUGUCCCUGCCACCAGGAUUGCAAUAUAAAAAGACACAACACAAACGGGAAAUGAAUUGGGAGGGAGGAGGAAAUAAGCCUAGUGAGGUACACACUCGUAAUUACAAGUUAUUUUAAUGACCAUAUGGGAUGCAAAAGUUCUAAUAGAGCAGGGGC
Zootoca vivipara (common lizard) is the source of this 2153-nucleotide long non-coding RNA. RefSeq lists it as uncharacterized. Lineage: Eukaryota; Metazoa; Chordata; Lepidosauria; Squamata; Lacertidae. The record is from RefSeq and is a predicted model, not a curated record.